ACACCACAGAAUGGAGUAAACAAGGCUGUGGCGGAGAUUAGUAGCUUCACGGCUGUAGGAAUGAUUCAGAGCUCGAAUACAGAAAAAUCAUUUAUAAGUGUUGGAUCUGAAGAAGCACGUUUGUGUGCAUCAAAGAGUGAUAAACAGGAACGCAACAACAUGAUUGGAACAUCAUUUAACGGUAUUAGCGUUGCAUCAAAUCAGAAGGGUAAAGAACAGG
Salvia splendens (bonfire salvia) is the source of this 220-nucleotide long non-coding RNA. RefSeq lists it as uncharacterized. The transcript is spliced from 3 exons. NCBI's taxonomy places the organism in Eukaryota, Viridiplantae, Streptophyta, Magnoliopsida, Lamiales, Lamiaceae. The record is from RefSeq and is a predicted model, not a curated record.